UACAGAGGGUGCAAGCGUUGUUCGGAAUUAUUGGGCGUAAAGCGCGUGUAGGCGGCAUAGCAAGUCGGGUGUGAAAGCCCUCGGCUCAACCGAGGAAGUGCGCCCGAAACUGCUGUGCUUGAGUACCGGAGAGGGUAGCGGAAUUCCCCAAGUAGAGGUGAAAUUCGUAGAUAUGGGGAGGAACACCGGUGGCGAAGGCGGCUACCUGGACGGUCACUGACGCUGAGACGCGAAAGCGUGGGUAGCAAACAGG
Molecule: ribosomal RNA, 253 nt
Filed under: uncultured bacterium
Lineage: Bacteria
Description: partial 16S ribosomal RNA
Rfam family: Bacterial small subunit ribosomal RNA
Source: RNAcentral